Molecule: long non-coding RNA, 2492 nt
Filed under: Pan troglodytes (chimpanzee)
Lineage: Eukaryota; Metazoa; Chordata; Mammalia; Primates; Hominidae
Description: long non-coding RNA NONPTRT011875
Source: RNAcentral
GUCGGUGGGCAGGGUUCAGUGGGCGGCCUGAGGCGAAGAGCUGCUUGCCGCCGCCUGCUAGGUUGCGCGCGCACUUCAGGCCUUGCGGGCAUGUCCAGCUCUUCUGUGGCUUCCAGCAGGCGAGGCCAAACAGGAUCUUUCUCACUUCCCUACAUCUCCUGGAUCCUGGAGCUGAUGCAGUCAGGUCCCGUGCUCACCGGGGGAACCGGCGAGCCUCUCCAAAGUAUUAAAGGACACUUCCGGAAGAGCCUUUGGCCUGUGGUCAGCCCGCAGACAUCGGUGGUCUCUGUACCUGUAGGAGCCCCAUGAGGGUCCAGGUGUGGGAGACAGUCCUGGGACAGGGCUUCUGCGGCCGAGGCAGGUGGGCAGGCACUCCAGGGGAGCUGCUGUAAAAGGUCAGCCUGCACACAGGCCUGUGCUCUUCAAGACCACGCAGGCCUCACCAUUCCCUCUGACAGCUCACUGCUGCCCUUCUUCACACACGCAAGUUCCCUGUGUGACAUCUGAGUUGGUGACUGUGGCUUCAAAUGAUCAGGAAAACUGCAGUUGACAGCAGAUAACUGAAAGCUCGGAAAGCGAAACCGUGGAUAAGCAGGGGAACUGUGGCAUCCCAUUUAAAAUUGCUUCUGAAGAGAAGCAUGAGGUUACAUCUGUAAUCUCCCUGCAGCAGAGUCAACUGCAUAAGAAACCAAAAGACACACCUGCUCCAUGCCAGCUUCGAUAAUUUCUUUGUACCUUCGGCGAAAGAAGCCCAUCUGAAAGGCAGAAAGAAAGAGGAGAAGCUGAGUUAGAAGUGCUGAAGAAUCAGCCAUUGUGACCCCAAGGCAGUCUGUCCCUGGGUAGGUGUGACCUGCACUCACAGGGCUGGGGAGGCUUGGAGGACCCCUCGGAUUAGAGAAAACACUGGCAAGAAAAACAUCCGGUGGAGACAUUUUUCAAAAUGCAUGGACUUCCUGCGGGUGAUAUUAGGCUUCUUCACUGUGAGCCAAACAUCCAGGGAAGCAUCACAGCCACCCUGAUGGUCAUAAGCUCCCCUGAAGAAGGGAAGGCAGGUGGACCUGAGGAGCUGUCUGUUGCCACCAUCUUUCUACUUCCCUAAAGGGGGCUUAUUGGCCAAGCCAAAGACGAGAACUGUCAAGAGAGCCAGCAGGUAUCUUCACCCACGUUGCCAAGGAGAUCCUGAGCAUUCACUGUGAGGGGAAGUCGAUAAGGUGGUGCAGUUUGAAUGACUGGGAAAGAGCAGAAGCUUUCUUAGAACAACUGGCAAGAGUCUUGUGUUCUGAGCUUCAAUCCUCAAGGCCAGUUUUGUAAACAGAUAUUGAGUUCCUGGUGAUUUCAGCCCUGGAGGUUUCUUCCCAGCAUAAGACCACAUUCAUCAGAAUGCCACGUUCUGACGCCCCCACACAUAUACUUUUCUCUCCUGAAACCUCUUCACCUUCUCCCCUCUGCAAGAGAUGUGGAAAAGGUGCUUGGCCAGAAUUUUCUGGAUAAUUAAGAAAAAGUCAUAGACAUCAUCCCCACAGCACACCCACAGAAGGCCAGAAAAACGGACCAAGACUGAAUGGAAAUCUAAGAAGCUACUGCUUGAAAUGUCAUUCUUUUGCGAUAAAGGUGUGGUUGGCCAAGAAAACAUGACCAGAUGUGGCUGGUCACAUGCCAUGAAGGAGAAUGUAAUCAUGAAACUGUGGAAGGAUGUAACAGGGAAAUAAGAUUCUCUAGCACAUACCUUUGGCUGCUGAUGUUGUAAUGUGUCAAUAAUCCCAGGUCACUCAGUUGUAAUUCCAGAGAAGUCACAUUUCCCUACCAUGGCACUAUCAAGCAGAAACUUAACAGUCUGCCCUCUUAUUAUCUCCUGCAUUUGUCUUAGGACUCCUUGAAGGCAGGCUUUGUGCUUUCAAUCCCCAGUACUCAGCAUCUCACCUGUCCUUGGUACCAGCGAUAAAUUGCAAAGAUGCCCACAUACCCUCCACACCCUUUACCAUGUGACUCUCCAGCUCUUCCCAUCAUGAGGUGGAGUCUAUUUUCCCAGCCUUGAUUCUCCACUGAGACUAGCUUUGACAAUUGGAUGAGAGGGAGGAGAUGUUGUGUCUGUUACACACUUAGUCCCCAAGGGGCUGUGCACACUUCCAAUUACUUUCUCAGAACCCUGCCCUGCUUCCACACAAAUGCCUUUGUCUAACCUGCUAAGAGACCAGUUUUUUUUUGAAGCCCUCCCAGACUAGCCAACUCCCAGCUGCCCGCAGAGGCUCUUGUAAGUCUCGCUGAGCUCAAACUGCCCCACUGAGCUCAGUCCAAAUAGCCAACCCACAGAACUGUGACCUGCAUAGAUGGAUAUUGCUUUUAAGCCGCUCAAUACUGGGGUGGUUUGUCAUGUAGCAUAAGUUAACUGGUACAGACUCAAUAUUUUUUUUGCUGACUUAAUGAAUCAGACAGACAGCUGAUAGGGCUCUAGAUUUAAACAGCAUCAGUUAGUGUGCCUUGCGGAACUGGAC